UGGGGAAUCUUGCGCAAUGGGCGAAAGCCUGACGCAGCCAUGCCGCGUGUAUGAUGAAGGUCUUAGGAUUGUAAAAUACUUUCACCGGGGAAGAUAAUGACGGUACCCGGAGAAGAAGCCCCGGCUAACUUCGUGCCAGCAGCCGCGGUAAUACGAAGGGGGCUAGCGUUGCUCGGAAUUACUGGGCGUAAAGGGCGCGUAGGCGGACAUUUAAGUCAGAGGCGAAAGCCCAGGGCUCAACCUUGGAAUUGCCUUUGAUACUGGAUGUCUUGAGUUCGGGAGAGGUGAGUGGAAUGCCGAGUGUAGAGGUGAAAUUSGUAGAUAUUCGGCGGAACACCAGUGGCGAAGGCGACUCACUGGCCCGAUACUGACGCUGAGGCGCGAAAGCGUGGGGAGCAAACAGGAUUAGAUACCCUGGUAGUCCACGCCGUAAACGAUGAGUGCUAGUUGUCGGCAUGCAUGCAUGUCGGUGACGCAGCUAACGCAUUAAGCACUCCGCCUGGGGAGUACGGUCGCAAGAUUA
RNAcentral lists this ribosomal RNA (523 nucleotides) under uncultured Alphaproteobacteria bacterium. RNAcentral describes it as "bacterial SSU rRNA". It matches the Rfam family "Bacterial small subunit ribosomal RNA", at positions 355 to 896 of the family's 1533-position model. Lineage: Bacteria; Pseudomonadati; Pseudomonadota; Alphaproteobacteria. The record is from RNAcentral.